Diceros bicornis minor is the source of this 460-nucleotide long non-coding RNA. RefSeq lists it as uncharacterized. The record is from RefSeq and is a predicted model, not a curated record. Lineage: Eukaryota; Metazoa; Chordata; Mammalia; Perissodactyla; Rhinocerotidae. The transcript has 3 exons.
CUGAGAAGACACUAAUGAGUGAGGCUGAUAGAGUUUGGGUUCCUCAUGAAGGAGAAGUUCCCGACAGGAGAGACACUGAGCACGUGGACGAGCUACAAGCCAGACCAUUCCAGUUCCCACGAGUGUGAUGGAGAAGGAGGAAGAACAAAUACACAGAGUGGGACUUGGGUAACCCAUGGAUUUCAGUACCACUGCCAUAUCUCCAGCCCUGUUUCGUAGAUGGUGAAAAUGAGGCUCCGAGAGGCUAAUGACACUCCUCUUCCCAUUACGUUUGCAGGUGAAAGAAACGGCUUACCUCCUACUUCCUGUGGAGCAAAGCGUGGGCAAGGAUCAGCUUUGAUUAUGGAGGUGAAGGGAGCAUACUAGGGGCUGGUGUAACUGGAAGAUGGAUGGAACCUGGGCGUCUGAAUGACUAUGUGGGGCAGAGCUGCCCUGUCAGCUUGGACUACUCAUCUCUGAU